GCCGGUUUAGCUCAGUGGUAGAGCGCCGUCCCCGUAUGACGGAGGUCGGAGGUUCAAUUCCUCUCAAUCGGCA
RNAcentral lists this transfer RNA (73 nucleotides) under Bradyrhizobium rifense. Its description in RNAcentral is "tRNA-Thr". It matches the Rfam family "tRNA". Rfam says of the family: Transfer RNA (tRNA) molecules are approximately 80 nucleotides in length. Their secondary structure includes four short double-helical elements and three loops (D, anti-codon, and T loops). Further hydrogen bonds mediate the characteristic L-shaped molecular structure. tRNAs have two regions of fundamental functional importance: the anti-codon, which is responsible for specific mRNA codon recognition, and the 3' end, to which the tRNAs corresponding amino acid is attached (by aminoacyl-tRNA synthetases). tRNAs cope with the degeneracy of the genetic code in two manners: having more than one tRNA (with a specific anti-codon) for a particular amino acid; and 'wobble' base-pairing, i.e. permitting non-standard base-pairing at the 3rd anti-codon position. Lineage: Bacteria; Pseudomonadati; Pseudomonadota; Alphaproteobacteria; Hyphomicrobiales; Nitrobacteraceae. The record is from RNAcentral.